Molecule: non-coding RNA, 28 nt
Filed under: Homo sapiens (human)
Lineage: Eukaryota; Metazoa; Chordata; Mammalia; Primates; Hominidae
Source: RNAcentral
GCAGCUAUGCCAACGGUACCGGGAGCAG